CAGUGGGCAAAGCCGGUCAGGCACUUUCCUGACAAACGCUACCACAUAGAUGCUUCAAGCUGGUGCUGACAUCUAGUGCUUCAUUCAGUGAAGUGCAACAGCGAAUUGCGCAAUUUGCUUCUGGUGCAGUUACCGACUUAGUUGCAUGUGUUUGUUUUGUGCUCCAGUGAUCUAAGACUUUACAUUGAAAUAUCUGAGGAGCUGGGGAAGCAACGAGGACGUUUGAAGGCCAUCGCAGACAGGAAGUUGCCACAGAAAUGGACACAAUGCUUGAGAAACGAGAUGACACGACUGAUCAGUGUGUCAAUAGCUUCGUAGACAUUUAUUCUCUACUUUUCCUCUACAUAAUGUACUGUGUGGGAUUCUGCCCUGUUUGUUUCUUUGUGUUACGUCACGUCGUCUGACCACUCCGACGGAAGUGAAAACCCCAUGUCACGUUCAUUUUGUAGGUGACUUAGAAAUUGUUUUAUUUUAUGAACACAGAUGACUUUGCCCAGACAAUUUGAUAACAAUAUUUGUAGAAGAAAAAAUGUCAGAAUGUACGAACAUCGAAGGAAAAUAUUUAAGUAGGGGAUUUAUUGUGCCCAAUUUCUGCAAUUUUUCCAUUAUUACAUGUUGAGAAACCCGAUAAUUCAUAGAGUAAUUAGAGUAAUUACUUCUUUGCAAUUAUGUACACCCUUAAGGUUGAAUAAAGGUGGCCAUCUCCCAAUGACCGCCCGAAAUAUUCUACAGAAUGACAGAUUUAUAUAUUUUCGUAUAUACGAAAACUACCACAUAUUAAUUACAGCAGCCAGCUACGUUUAACACAGUUUAUUAGAUACACAAAGAGACGCGUUUCGAUCCUGUGUUACAGUAUCAUCAUCAGUGUUGAUGUUUUAUAUGUGGUUUAAAAUACAAAUCUACGUCAAAGUUACUAUAACAUUAUGGUUAAAACAAUAUUCAAUUCUAAAGGGUUUUGACUUACACUUAAAAUUAUUUGUUGUCAGGACUUUUUCCAUCGUCUGUUUUUAAAAUUCACGACGUUUCGGAGGCUGGUUCUGCCUCCGUCUUCAGGUGAGAGGUACCUACUCUGUUGGGUCCCUUAGAAAGAGCUAGUCUCUGUCACUGGACAAUAUAAAUCGUGCAAUUAUUUCAACUUGUCCACCCAAAUACGCGUUCUGUCAGUGGAUUAUAAUACUUAAAAACAGACGAUGGAAAAAGUCCUGACAACAAAUAAUUUUAAGUGUAAAAUAUCUUGUUCAUCAGAAUCUGUGUUUCUAAGCCAUGCGCCCCAUUUUUAAUAUACCAAUAGCUUUGGUUCAUUUAGAUGUUGCUAAAUAAAAGACCGUUAUAUCUGCAAAACCAAACACGUAUUAAAGUUUGUUUAUGAAAUUCUUUAAAACCAUAUACGUUUUAUUUUCACGUUUUAACUACAUAUAAUAUUUUAUAACUUAACUUUUGAUAUGUACAAACUUUAUCAAAAAUAUCAGAAAGUGGUAUGCAGCCAUAUCAUUUUAUUAGCGGUUAGAACGCUGGCCUUUGUAUUCCUGGGGUCCCGGAUUCGAUUCCCGGGGUGCCCGAAUUUAUAAC
Non-coding RNA from Zootermopsis nevadensis, 1569 nucleotides. The record is from RefSeq and is a predicted model, not a curated record. NCBI's taxonomy places the organism in Eukaryota, Metazoa, Arthropoda, Insecta, Blattodea, Termopsidae.